Misgurnus anguillicaudatus (oriental weatherfish) is the source of this 2395-nucleotide non-coding RNA. Lineage: Eukaryota; Metazoa; Chordata; Actinopteri; Cypriniformes; Cobitidae. The record is from RefSeq and is a predicted model, not a curated record.
UACAGACCAUCCAUCCAAGAUCAUCUGCCUCGGUAAGGAUCUGUUGCAGCUUUGUGUCACUGACUGUAUUUCUUCAAACUCCUGUUCCGUGUCACAUAGCUUAUGCAAGACUGAAUCAAUGAAGAUGCUGUAACCAUAAAGCAACCAGGACAACACACCUGGAGUGACCGAGAGCAGGAUGAAGAAAGAAUCGGAUGAGAAAAUAUCAACUGGUGUCCAUGAGGAGACACAUUGUUCUUGGACCUGCUUUUUCUGUUUAGUAAUAAGUGGUUUUAUGUGGUUACAUAAAAGUAAUUUAAUAUUCAAUCCACAAGCUAAAUUUCCUACAUUUUCUUAAAAAGGUAGUUGACCCAAAAAGGAAAAUUCUGUCAUUUACACAAACAGUUUGGUUACAAACAUUUCUCACAAUAUCUCCCUUCCUGUUUAUCAGAACAAAGAAAUGUAUGCGGGUUUGUAACAACAUGAGAGAGUGUGUAAAUGAUGACAUAAUUUUCAUUUUUGGGUGAAGUACCCCUUUAACAUUUUUAUACCCAGGGGUAGGGGUGUGCAGCGGAGGCAGUAUUUGUAUCUGUAUUUGUAUCUGUAACAGUCUCAAAAUUAUAUGUAUCUGUAUUUGUAUUCGGAUGGAACCGGAAGUGGGCGGGUCUUAAACCGGAAGUUUGUCAUAUUACAUUAAAAUGGCAUUUUAAAUGCAUUUUUGCUUUUUAUUAUAAUUAUAACUUAAAUAACUGUAAAUAUUUAUUAAAAAUAAUAAUACAAAAUUUUAAUCAAAAAGACAAAUAACUUGAUUCUCGUUAGUAAUACCCAUGGAAAGCAAACAACUCAUUUUUAAAGCCUCAUACAGCUUGUGCUAUAGCAUCAUUGUAUUGUAGCAUUAAAAUAACAAACUUGAAAGCACGUUGACAAAACUGUAGGCUACAUCACCUUUAAAUGUUUAUUGUGCCUGUCAGCACAGUUCCAUGAGACCCAUUCUUUCUAAAUGAGUGCGAUGUUUUCAGAAAAAAAUAAGUAGCCUACAUUAAUCCCUCAUCUAGCGAUUCAAAUAUAGUAAUUAAACAUCUAAAAUUAUCGUUAUUUGUAAGUUUUCUAAAAGAGUGAAAUAUAACCUAAUACUACUCAUCCAUGUCUGACAUCUUGGUUUCAGUUUAAAAACAUGCAGGAAUUUGAAAAUAAAAUGCAGGACUUGCUUGAUGUUUAAGGGAGAUAAAGUUCGGGAAAUGAUUUAUGUUAAAAAAGUUAUUAAGAUCGACAAACUCGCGCUGACUGACAGAUCCGAAAUGCAACGCAGAGACACGCAAGUGGCGCAGUAUAUGCACAGAAUAGUUCAAAAACAUCUGUUUUGAUAAGAAUUUACGAAAGCAUAAUAAGCAUUAGAAAAAACUUGCUGAUCUCAUUUUUAUCUAUGUCCAUAUUAAUCUUCAUCUAAAUAAAUAAAUAAUCAGAUAUUUGUUUAAAUUUUUAAAUAACAGUAUGAUCUAUUAAAAAUCAGUUUUGACUUCAAAACCAGCGACAUGAUUUAAAACAAUAAUGUAAUUAGAAAUAUUUAAUUCAAGUGUUUCAGUUGUUAUUUGCUUACUUUAUUUUUAUGUUAAUUGCGAUUCAUGUCAUAGUAUUCUUCAGUUUAAAUUUUGCUUUUAAAAUGUUACAUUUUCAUAUUUUUAUCUAUUUACUUAUUUAUUUUAUAUUCACCUAGAUUGACAAUAAAGCUUGCUUCGACUAGAAGUAAUUAAAAUAUCAUCUACCGGUGCCACAGAGAUACAGAGUUAUUAACGAAUAUUUUAUUAUCAGAGUGCAGCAUUUUAUCAAGGUUUUCUGGUCUAAUUAAAUAAAACGGAUUUUUUUUACAGUUGGGUUAAAAGAAGUUUGACAUUAGCAGCGUUUUUAAGAUUUUAAACUAAUUCCAAAACAGCUCGCGUUUCUAAAUAAGGGUUGCGCCGAAAAUGUCAUUUUACAGAUUGCACUCAUUCUCUUCACACAAAUAUUAUUCGUGCUUUAAAGGGUUUAUAAUUUAGAGCUGUUCCAGUAAACACGUGAUUAUGUCUGGCCGAAUAUUUUCUCUGUUAUUCGGAUGAAUUCGUUAUUCGUUUUGAAGCUAUUAUCCGUGCCCUUCCGAAUAACGUUUUCGGCUUCGGGCACAUCCCUACCCAUGGGUAAAAGAAAUGUAUGUUAAACAUUUUUAGUUUGUCUUUUUUUGUUACUGCUACUUUCAACAAGACUAAUUAUUCAGCCAAGCUUAUUUUGUACUUUAAGAAAUGAACAGCUUUUAUGGGUUUUAAGACACAGAUAUGUGCUCACAGUUUGCCCAUAUAGAAUGCCCAGUGGUCCCACAAUUUUCCCGCAGUAUGCCCACAUUUUUCCCACGUAUUUGUAUUUAAAUAAAUUUUUCCACACAGUA